UCUUCAUUUCUCUCACUCUCUCAGCGCUCAGAGAGGCGAGAGAGUGUAUGAAAUGAAGAGA
Pristionchus pacificus is the source of this 61-nucleotide non-coding RNA. NCBI's taxonomy places the organism in Eukaryota, Metazoa, Nematoda, Chromadorea, Rhabditida, Neodiplogasteridae. The record is from Rfam.